CCUACGGGAGGCUGCAGUGAGGAAUAUUGGGCAAUGGACGAGAGUCUGAAGGAGCAAAGUAGCGUGAAGGAUGACUGCCCUAUGGGUGGUAAACUUCGUUUAUAUGGGAAUAAAAUGUUCAAAGUGUGUGAUUGUGUAUGUACCAUAUGAAUAAGGAUCGGCAAACUACGUGCCAGCCGCCGCGGUAAUACGGAGGAUCCGUGCGUUACCCGGAUUUAUUGGUUUUAAAGGGAGCGUAGGUGGAUUGUUAAGUCAGUUGUGAAAGUUUGCGGCUCAACCGUAAAAUUGCAGUUGAAACUGGCAGUCUUGAGUACAGUAGAGGUGGGCGGAAUUCGUGGUGUAGCGGUGAAAUGCUUAGAUAUCACGAAGAACUCCGAUUGCGAAGGCAGCUCACUGGACUGCAACUGACACUGAGGCUCGAAAGUGUGGGUAUCAAACAGGAUUAGAUACCCGUGUAGUC
RNAcentral lists this ribosomal RNA (460 nucleotides) under uncultured bacterium. Its description in RNAcentral is "partial 16S ribosomal RNA". It matches the Rfam family "Bacterial small subunit ribosomal RNA", at positions 338 to 795 of the family's 1533-position model. The record is from RNAcentral.